This 73-nucleotide transfer RNA is filed under the name Muribaculaceae bacterium. RNAcentral describes it as "tRNA-Thr". It matches the Rfam family "tRNA". Rfam says of the family: Transfer RNA (tRNA) molecules are approximately 80 nucleotides in length. Their secondary structure includes four short double-helical elements and three loops (D, anti-codon, and T loops). Further hydrogen bonds mediate the characteristic L-shaped molecular structure. tRNAs have two regions of fundamental functional importance: the anti-codon, which is responsible for specific mRNA codon recognition, and the 3' end, to which the tRNAs corresponding amino acid is attached (by aminoacyl-tRNA synthetases). tRNAs cope with the degeneracy of the genetic code in two manners: having more than one tRNA (with a specific anti-codon) for a particular amino acid; and 'wobble' base-pairing, i.e. permitting non-standard base-pairing at the 3rd anti-codon position. The record is from RNAcentral. Lineage: Bacteria; Pseudomonadati; Bacteroidota; Bacteroidia; Bacteroidales; Muribaculaceae.
GCCACUAUAGCUUAGUUGGUAGAGUAUCUCAUUCGUAACGAGACGGUCGCCGGUUCGAGUCCGGCUAGUGGCU